This 552-nucleotide ribosomal RNA is filed under the name uncultured bacterium. Its description in RNAcentral is "partial 16S ribosomal RNA". It matches the Rfam family "Bacterial small subunit ribosomal RNA", at positions 355 to 898 of the family's 1533-position model. The record is from RNAcentral.
UAGGGAAUCUUCCACAAUGGACGCAAGUCUGAUGGAGCAACGCCGCGUGAGUGAAGAAGGUUUUCGGACCGUAAAGCUCUGUUGUUGGUGAAGAAGGAUAGAGGUAGUAACUGGCCUUUAUUUGACGGUAAUCAACCAGAAAGUCACGGCUAACUACGUGCCAGCAGCCGCGGUAAUACGUAGGUGGCAAGCGUUGUCCGGAUUUAUUGGGCGUAAAGCGAGCGCAGGCGGAAGAAUAAGUCUGAUGUGAAAGCCCUCGGCUUAACCGAGGAAUUGCAUCGGAAACUGUUUUCUUGAGUGCAGAAGAGGAGAGUAGAACUCCAUGUGUAGCGGUGGAAUGCGUAGAUAUAUGGAAGAAUACCGGUGGCGAAGGCGGCUCUCUGGUCUGCAACUGACGCUGAGGCUCGAAAGCAUGGGUAGCGAACAGGAUUAGAUACCCUGGUAGUCCAUGCCGUAAACGAUGAGUGCUAAGUGUUGGGAGGCUUCCGCCUCUCAGUGCUGCAGCUAACGCAUUAAGCACUCCGCCUGGGGGAGUACGACCGCAAGGUUGAA